This 382-nucleotide long non-coding RNA is filed under the name Equus caballus (horse). RNAcentral's name for it is "lncRNA (ENSECAG00000050526.1)". Lineage: Eukaryota; Metazoa; Chordata; Mammalia; Perissodactyla; Equidae. The record is from RNAcentral.
UGGUAUCUGCCAGAGUCUGUGUCAGUAUGCCUGUACUAGGUCACAACAAUGGCCGCCACCAAAGUCUCAGUCUCUGGAGAGGUCUCACCUCUCACCAAGAUGCACCCAGAGCCUACCAGGACAAGACAAAGGAAGAAAACCAACUUUCCCGUUUUAAGAAAUAGUUCUGCGCUUCAUCACAGAGAGAAGCUUUAAUUGAUCAGCACUUCAUGCAAAUGAAUAAUUUUUAGAUGUUUUCUUCUGGGAGAACCAAGGAGCAACAGGUUCUUGCGUAGAAGCUCAGCGUGGACUUUUAGCUUUUCCAGUGGACUUUGAGGGAAAAAACGUCAGAAGUUCAGCUUUCUCACUUCUGAAAAGGGACUAGUGAUGCCUGUUCUUCGCC